GUAGGGAAUAUUGCGCAAUGGACGAAAGUCUGACGCAGCGACGCCGGGUGAGUGAUGAAGGCCUUAGGGUCGUAAAGCCCUGUUGAAGGGGAAGAAAAAAAUGACGGUACCAUUCGAGGAAGGACCGGCUAACUUCGUGCCAGCAGCCGCGGUAAUAGGAGGGGCCCUAGCGUUGUUCGGAAUCAUUGGGCGUAAAGGGUGUGUAGGUGGCCAUGUAAGUCAGGUGUGAAAGCCCCGGGCUCAACCCGGGAAGUGCACUUGAUACUGCGUGGCUUGAGUACCGAAGAGGGUAGUGGAAUUCCAGGUGUAGUGGUGAAAUACGUAGAUAUCUGGAGGAACACCGGUGGCGAAGGCGGCUACCUGGUCGAGUACUGACACUGAGACACGAAAGCAUGGGGAUCAAACAGGAUUAGAAACCCCUGUAGUCC
Molecule: ribosomal RNA, 428 nt
Filed under: uncultured bacterium
Lineage: Bacteria
Description: partial 16S ribosomal RNA
Rfam family: Bacterial small subunit ribosomal RNA
Source: RNAcentral